GACGAACGCUGGCGGCGUGCUUAACACAUGCAAGUCGAACGGAAAGGCCCGGCUCUUGUGGGGUGCUCGUGUGCCGAACGCGUGAGUAACACGCGAGUAACCUGUCCUUGUCUUUGGGAUAACUCUUGGAAACUGCGGCUAAUAUCGGAUAGGAGCUCCUGCUCCAUGGGGGGGGAUGGAAAGUGUCGGCGGUGGGGGAUGGACUCGCGGCUUAUCAGCUUGUUUGUGAGGUAGUGGCUUACCAAGGCUUUGAAGGGUAGCCGGCCUGAGAGGGUUGACGGCCACAUUGGGACUGAGGUACGGCCCAGACUCCUACGGGAGGCAGCAGUGGGGAAUAUUGCACAAUGGGCGGAAGCCUGAUGCAGCAACGCCGCGUGCGGGAUGACGGCCUUCGGGUUAUAAACCGCUUUCGCCUGUGACGAAGCGUGAGUGACGGUAAUGGGUAAAGAAGCACCGGCUAACUACGUG
RNAcentral lists this ribosomal RNA (468 nucleotides) under uncultured bacterium. RNAcentral's name for it is "partial 16S ribosomal RNA". It matches the Rfam family "Bacterial small subunit ribosomal RNA", at positions 28 to 507 of the family's 1533-position model. The record is from RNAcentral.